GUUCUCUUCUCAGCAACUCUACCUCCUUACCUCUCUUUGACCUCCUUUAAGUCCACAGCCUGGCCCUUGACUUCACGGACCCGUCUUACCUUUCUUCACCUGGAAUGUCCUGCCCUUUCUUGGGGUCUCCUUUACCCCCUCCUCUCUGGUCCCAUCCCUUCUGCUGGCAAGCCCCAGCUUUCCUCCACGGCUCGGCCUGGUCAGCUCGAACCUCAUCUUGUUGGCUCGCCCUGGGCAGGAGGGGACCGUAUGGUGCAAAGUGGGGCCAGAACUACCCCUGGAGUAGACCCCUGCCUUGCCCCCACCGCCCCUCCCAAGCCCUGGUUGCGGCGCUUCCUGGGCGGAUGGUUUGGACUUGCUGCGGCAGCUGCGGUUCUGCUGUGUCAUGCAAGAAGGAGGCGGCGGCGGCGGCGGCCGGAGCUGGAGGGGGAGGAGGGGAGGAACCUGAUCCUCGGUAGCCAAGGGCUGGAGGCAAACACCGAGCUCCCCCUGAGCCGCCCGGGAGCAGGGAGGGCUCUGCUACCCCGAGGGGCCCUCCCCGCGGGGCAGAGGAGUGCAGAUAGCUCUAUUGCUGGAUCUGACGGUGCAUGCUGAGGCAGGAAGACUGCAACGGAGGCUAACCAGUGGCCAGCAGCGGCAGCCUCCAGGCUCCUCUAGAGUCCUCACCAGUCACUGAUGUGAAGGCCAGCUAUCCCCUCACUCGAGGAGGACAGCGGGGCAUGCCGACAAAUGAGGCUGAUUCCUGGGUGUGAGGGAACCGAAACAGAGUCAUGAACAGAGGAACAGCAGAUGGCUGUAAUCAUGAGGAAGUUGCCUCUAAGGUGCCUGCCUCUGCCUGACAGGAAUCCUAUCAAGGUGCUCUCAAGGAGUGUAUGGAAGUGACGAGAAUCCAUGCUCCCACUUCAUCUCCCCCCCCCCCACACACCGCUUGCAGGGAUGUCAAAGGCUUUCAUUUAAUUGUAUGAGCACCUCGGUGGGGCAUUCUUCAUAGCAAUCCUGCUCACCUCUCAGUUGCUGCACCCACACAUAGAGACUGGGAGGGGAGGAACAACCAACCAUUCCUGUUGUGAUCCCCACCCCACCCUGAUGCCUUCAGCCAGUCUUUAGAGUACAGGUUCACUGUCAACCAAACCUUCCCCUUCCUAAGGGCAUCUCAAGUGUCACUAAUGAAGUCUCAGGCCUGCUUCAUUAAUGCUAGCUGUUACUAGUUUUUCAAUCUACAACUUAACUUUAUUCUCAUUUAACAUGUAGUUGCAUGUAGCAUGUUUUGUGAGUGUAAUUUACUUGUUUAAUUUCACAUUUCAACACACACUGGCCCUUUAGAUGUGUUUUCCUAGUUUGGAAGUCGGGAUGACUAGAGUAAUUGGGAAUGAGACUUGGCCACAGAGCCUCAUCCCCAAGUCAUAUCUUAGGGACUAGAAGCUUUACUGGGAGUUAUUAAAAAAAAAAAGGAAGGAAAACUCAAAACACACUUAUUUUUCCUCUUUUCUUUAUUUCCUUGGACUACAAGUUUAUACCAAGAAACAUGACGAUUUAAUGGCUAUAAGAUGCAACUCAAACACCAAACUCUUGUAGAGUUUCUUGAGGGCUACUGGCCUUUGUUGCUGUUGUUCACUGUUUACUUUUUAAUUCAAAUUCUAAGUCAGAUGUUCAUACUGACUUUAAUAGCGACAUGGAAAAUAAAUUCCAGCCUUUGGUUUGUUUCAUUUUUUUUUCUUUCUGCCUAGUCAUUCUGACUUAAAAUCCCACAGCUGUUUCAGAUACAGCUCAGCUGAAAUGACAGUGGACCGUGGCAAGAAGCCAGAGAAAGGGAAGACUGUUGAGAAAGGUGUGUAGGGCCUGGAAUCAGAUGAUGUGAGUUCAGGCUCUAAGGACUUAACCAACAAAGCCCUGGGAAUCUGCAUUCCAUGAACAUUGACUGGACACCUACUGUGUUCAAGGGAUUGGAACUGGGUACUGUCAAAGCUACAAAGAUACAUAACAACAAGAACAACAUGUAGCUCUUCUAAUGACUUUUAGUGCAGGCCUCCACCUAUCAGCUUUGAGUCUGAACGCUCUCUUGCAUUAAGAAAAAAAAACAAUACAGAUAAAUGGAAAAAUGAAUUUAUGUACAGGUUUGGUCGUAACCAGAAAGGGAGGCAUUCUCAGUCUGCCUAAGGUCUUGCUCAUACCCAUGCCACAGUUUAUACAAAAUAUGAAACAAAGGCCAGAAUAUCUGCCUGUGGGGAGCAUCUUUGUCCCAGCAUCUUCACUUGAAGUGCAGAAUUUUUCUAGAGGACUCUCGUGUUUUGGUGUCAUGGAGAAGGAAGGAAAGCAUAUUCGAGCCGUGGCUUAGUAUAGCGCCAGAUAUGUUGGUGAUGAGGGAGUUAGGGGGACGGCAGUAAGUUAACAUUAGUCUACCCAGAGAGCUGGAGGUGGCUUUGAGAAGGAGCUACUUGGGAUGGUCCCAGAAGCAUAGAUAGCCUUUGUGGGUGGGACUGGGAUGGCAUGAAACAGAAGGUACAAAAAGGGGAGACAAUAUAAGUAAAGGCGUACGGUAGGAGAGUGGAGAGCUGGUUUGGGAAACUUGUUAGACCAGAAGGCAGCAUGCUUUUGGAUAAUAAUGGGUGGCAAGUUUUGACCAGUAGAUUAGAAUUGUGGUAAGGCUCAGAUUUCAUUCUGAAGAAUCUGGACCUUCUUGAGGUUGGUGAACAGGGAAACGGCGGAUGUAUGGAACAACCCUGGUUUUUGUCAACUUGGCAUAAGCUAGAGUCAUCUGGAAAGAGGGAACCUGAACUGAGAAAACUCCUCCAUCCGAUUGUCCUGUAGGCAAGAGGGUAGAAGUAUUUUCUUGAUCAGUGAUUGAUUUGGGAGAGCCCAGUCCCCUGUGGGUGUUACUAUCCCUAGGCUGGUAGUUCUGGAGUGUAUUAAAAAAAAACAAAAACAAAAAACAGCUGAACAAGCCAUGAAGAGCAAACCAGUGCACAUCGCUCCUCCAUGGUCUCUGUUUCAGGUUCCUGCUUCAAGGUUCCUACCUUGAGGUCCCAUUCUCCCUUCUCUUGGUGAUGAGCUGUGAGUUUAAAGCCAAAACAAACCCUUUCUGCUUCUAGUUGAUUUUGGUCAGAAUUUUAUCACUGCAAUAGAAAUAACUAAGACAUGCCCCAAGAGGGACCAGCCUGUAACAGGCUUCCUUUUGGGUCACCAACCAACUCCCAAAUCAUGACAAGGAGACUUGCUAUUAGUUUUCAAUGCUUAGCCUUAGCUUAGUGCUCUCUCUCUCUCUCUCUCUCUCUCUCUCUCUCUCUCUCUCUCUCUCUCUCGAUUUAUUUAUUUAUUAUAUAUACCAUGUUCUGUUCUGUCUGCAUGUAUCCCUACACAUCAGAUAGCAUAGAUAGUUGCUGGGAAUUGAACUCAGAACCUCUGGAAGAGCAGCCAGUGCUCCCAACCUCUGAGCCAUCUCUCCAGCCCCUUAGUUUAGCUCUUAUUUUAAUCUGUUUCUCUUUAUCUGUGUUUUGCCUCAGGGCUCUCUCUCUCUCUCUCUCUCUCUCUCUCUCUCUCUCUCUCUCUCUCUCUCUCUCUCUGUCUCUCUCCUGUCCUACUUUGACUGCUUCUCCUGGCUGGUGGCUGCCUCACUUCUGACCCUGAGCAUGUCCCUCUUUCUCCCUCGUUCUCUUCAUUCUCUUCUACUUAUUCUCUCUGCCCACCAGUCCCGCCUAUUCUCCGGCCUACGUAUUGGCCAUUCAGCUUUUUAUUAGACCAAUCAGGGCUUUAAGCACAUAAGGCGAAACAAUUGCAACACACCUUUACAUAAUUAUACACAUACUUACAUCCUUAAACAAAUGUAUCAUAAACAAAUGUAAUAUACCUUUACAUAGUGAAAGUAAUUUCUACAACACUAACCUGUGGAGGGCAAUGGCUUGGCAGUCCCAAGUGCUCUCGUUGGGAGGGAAAAACUAAGGGAUUUGGCUCAGGAAAUUGUUGAAAUAGAGUUGCAGGAAUGACAGAAAAAAAGUCUGAAAGAAAAAGUUGGAGGAAGCACUGGCAGGGUGCUGACAGCCAUUGGUUUGAGACUGUAGAAGGUUCUGAACAUCAGUGAGUCAGAGGACAGAGAUGCUGAGAAUGUAGGAGGCUUGCCAGGGAAGAUGCUGAGUUUGGUUUGAACAUGGUUAGUCUGUUCUGAAUAUGCUGGAUAACAGAACCAUAUAAAACAUGAGCCAGUUCUGACUGCCCUGAUCAAGGCUCCUACAGGAGCUCAUCAGUGCCUUCUCAUCUUGCUCAGCUCAGAGCAAUCUUUACAGUGUUUCAUCAAGGCUUCCCUGUUCUAGCCGCCCUUUUCCUCCAUCCUCACAGGGGCUGUGGUGACCCUGGUCCUACAUCGUGUAUGAGAACUUUCUUUAGUUCUCAGUACCUUACUCUUUCCUUCCCUCAGCUCUCUUUCAAGAGCUAUUAUUAUUAUUAUUAUUAUUAUUAUUAUUACUAUUAUUAUUAAUUAUUAUUAUUUUAUGUGGUAGUUUAAAUGUAAUUGGCCCCCAUAAGCUAACUGGGAGUGGCACUAUUUAGGAGAUGUGGCUUGUUGGAGUAGAUGUGGCUUUCUUGGAUGAAGUCUGUCACAGUGGGAGUGACCUUUGAGUUCUCAUAUAUGCUCAAGCCAUGCCCAGUUUCUUAGACUACUUCCUGUUGCCUGUGGGAUCAAGAUAUAUCUCCUUCUCUACUCUCAGCUCCUUCUCCAGCACCAUGUCGGGCCAUGAUGAUACUGGACUAAACCUCUGAAACUGAUGUGGCUCUCAGCUCCUGCUCUAAUGCUGUGCCUGCCUGCCGCUGUGUUCUCCGCUAUGAUAUGAUUUCAUGGACUAAACUAACCGUCUGAAACUGAAUGCUCAAGUCCCAGCAGAUGAGCUGAUAAGAAGCAAAUGAACUCAUCUCUUACCAUGUGGAAGGCCCAUGUUCCCUAUAGAGAAUUGCAGAGUGAAACCCGUUACUGGACUCGUCAACAAACUAAAAAACAAAAACAGAAAUGCUGUCAGAGACAGUAGGGAACAGCUACUUAUUCCUAAUCCUUAAUGUUAAUUUCACUAAAUCUUUGUGUUACAAAAAGACAAACAUGAUAUGUACUCACUCAUAUGUGGAUUUUAGACAUAGAGUAAAGAAUUACCAGCCUGCAAUCCACACUGCCAGAGAAGCUAGUAAACAAGGAGGACCCUAAGAGAGACAUACAUGGUCCCCUGGAGAAGGGAAAGGGUCAAGAUCCCCUGGGCAAAUUGAGAGCUCGGGAAGAGGGGGAGGGAGCUGGGAGAAUGAGAAGGGAAGAAGAGGAGGGAUGCAGAGGACAUGAGGGAGCAGGAAGGUUGAGUCUGGGGAAGAAUAGACGAUAACAAGAAAGGAGAUACCAUAAUAGAGGGAGACAGAGAAAUCAGGCACUAGGGAAAUGUCUGGAGAUCUACAAAGAUGACACCAGCUAACAAUCUAAGCAACAGAGGAGAGGCUACCUUAAAUGCCCUCCCCUGAUAAUGAGAUUGAUGACUGACUUAUAUGCCACCCGAUAGCCCACAUCCAGCAGCUGGUGGAAGUAGAAGCCGACACCCACAACUAAUCACUGAACUGAACUGGAAUCCAGAUGCAGAGAAGGACGAGUGAAGAGCAAAGGGGUUCUGAAACCCACAGAAACAACUGACCUGAACAUCAGGGAGCUCUUGCUCCCCAGACUGAUAGCUGGGAUACCAGCAUGGGACUGUUCCAGACCCCAGGAACUUGGGUUUCAGUGAGGAAACCUCGGAAAUCUACGGGACCUCCUGUAGUGGAUCAGUACUUAUCCCUAGCAUAGGUGUGGACUUUGGGAGCCCAAUCCACAUAGAGGAAUACUCCCUGAGCUAAGACACACGGGGGUGGGCCUAGGCCCUAUCCCAAAAGAUAUGAUAGACUCUGAUGACACCCUAUGGAAGGCCUCACCAUCCGGGGGAGGAGAAAGGAUGUGUGUUAGGUAGGGUUUUAGUUGUGUGUGUGUGGGG
RNAcentral lists this long non-coding RNA (5984 nucleotides) under Cricetulus griseus (Chinese hamster). Its description in RNAcentral is "lncRNA (ENSCGRG00015033905.1)". The record is from RNAcentral. Lineage: Eukaryota; Metazoa; Chordata; Mammalia; Rodentia; Cricetidae.